UUGAAAGGGAAACGAUUGAAGUCAGUCGGACCCGCGGGNAAUCAACCUUUCGAGUGGGGGUUUUGGAGUUUUGAAGAGUGUCAAAACCUUUGAGAUUUCAAAAUUUUCGCUCCUUUGGUGUACUUUCUCGUGGGUAGGUUAACAUCGAUUUUGAUCAUCAUAAAAAGAUUGGAGGAAUGUAGCUUCGAUCUUGUAUUGAAGUGUUAUAGCCUUUGGUAAACGUGAUGAUUAGGAUCGAGGAUUGCAACGAAUACCCUUUUGGGCUAUCCGCCUGAUCUCUGAUACGUGGCCUUGGUAUCGAAAGCGUGCUUAUGGUAUUGAGGUAUUACGGUCAAAAGGUUAGAACGGAUUACAUUCGUUAAGGAUGUUGACGUA
This 375-nucleotide ribosomal RNA is filed under the name uncultured Glomeromycotina. Its description in RNAcentral is "LSU rRNA". Lineage: Eukaryota; Fungi; Glomeromycota. The record is from RNAcentral.